AGAGGUAUUCCAGGACAUAGUUUGGCUUCAUAUAUUUAAGUGAUGACGGUGUCUUAUUAAAUCCUUGUACAGGAACCAAUACAUGAUAGGAUAUCCAGGAACGUUUCCAGGGCACUAUCAAGCAUAUAAUUGUGGUGUUUCACCUAUGGAGUUUCAACUGCUGUAAGUGCAGUUGCAGCUUAUGCUGUGUCUUAUUAAAUCCUUGUACAGGAACCAAUACAUGAUAGGAUAUCCAGGAACGUUUCCAGGGCACUAUCAAGCAUAUAAUUGUGGUGUUUCACCUAUGGAGUUUCAACUGCUGUAAGUGCAGUUGCAGCUUAUGCUGCAGAUCAUUCUUGCAUUUGGAUCACAAUAGUUCCUGGAAGAUCCGGAUCUCUUUUCUUGAACCUUCAUGUGUUCCCCAUACACCAAUCAGUAACCACAUGGCAGAACAUGUAAACCAUGCGUUGCUCAGUAUAGUUCCAAACUUGUUCACAUAGAAUAAGUUCAUGCCCUCAGAUUGGAGGUCUUCUCUAUUUAACAGAAUGAGCAUAUACCAUCUAUUGUUGCAGAGUUGAAGGCUGUCGUUUAUUUUGCUUGGAACACAAAACGAAAGUGGCUUCCAUAGAUUUAUUUCUUCUUUUCUUAUUUUCAUUGAUCGAUGGUGAAGUUGCCCUUCCACGCACUUUUUUUUUUUACUUUCCAUUUCUUAUUUUUAUGAUGAAAUCUCUCAAAUAGGUGUCAAUAAGAACGCUGCAAAUGGAUCAGCUGCAUUACAUUUGAGGGAGAAACCUUGGGUCCUUCCAGGCGACAUCAAAAAGACUGUAGAUAAAAAUCUACAGAGCUCUCUUUUGAUACUCUCAUUAUCACUACUCUAGUCUCUUUGCCAUUCUUCUCUAUUUUCUUCUAAAUUUUAUCAGGUUCGGUGCUAAUACACUCUAAUUAUUCUCUCUGAUACAAAUUAAGUCUCAAUUGUUGGAGUCAUUGAAGUCAUUUCCUUGAUUCUUUUUCUUGUAUUGUUUUGUUGACUUGGGUGUAAUACGCAUGUGUUAUAUCCAGAAAUAUUAAAAUCUGGUUGUCUAAGUUGCAAUGAAUAAAGUGUGGAAAAAAAAAUCAUUCUUUAAAUAAU
RNAcentral lists this long non-coding RNA (1108 nucleotides) under Musa acuminata (dwarf banana). RNAcentral's name for it is "long non-coding RNA (MACU_LNC004110)". The record is from RNAcentral. Lineage: Eukaryota; Viridiplantae; Streptophyta; Magnoliopsida; Zingiberales; Musaceae.